CAGCCGCCGCGGUAAUACGGAGGGUGCAAGCGUUAAUCGGAAUUACUGGGCGUAAAGCGCACGCAGGCGGUUUGUUAAGUCAGAUGUGAAAUCCCCGAGCUUAACUUGGGAACUGCAUUUGAAACUGGCAAGCUAGAGUCUUGUAGAGGGGGGUAGAAUUCCAGGUGUAGCGGUGAAAUGCGUAGAGAUCUGGAGGAAUACCGGUGGCGAAGGCGGCCCCCUGGACAAAGACUGACGCUCAGGUGCGAAAGCGUGGGGAGCAAACAGGAUUAGAUACCCCAGUAGUCCCUGUCUCUUAUAC
Molecule: ribosomal RNA, 301 nt
Filed under: uncultured bacterium
Lineage: Bacteria
Description: partial 16S ribosomal RNA
Rfam family: Bacterial small subunit ribosomal RNA
Source: RNAcentral